This 1338-nucleotide long non-coding RNA is filed under the name Homo sapiens (human). Its description in RNAcentral is "non-protein coding lnc-MAF-8:1". Lineage: Eukaryota; Metazoa; Chordata; Mammalia; Primates; Hominidae. The record is from RNAcentral.
UACAAGGAUUUUAUAUAUGCACAUAGGUAUAUAAAUAUAUAUACAUAUACACCUUGUUUUUAUCUUCUACUUUUGAUUUUUGAACCAUAUAAAAGUAUUACCUAUUCAAAAAUAAAUAUUUUAUGUGUAUAUGUACAUUUUUUAAUCCUAAUUUAAAAAAAAAUAAAAUUAAAGAAAUAAGUUUAAAAAAAAAGCAGUGGCCACAUAAGCCAGGCACCUAUUUUCUGUCUUCUCUAGGCAACUGUGAUACAUAAAUUACUUCCCACUCUCUCCUUUUCUCUGUCUUACACACAGAGGCUGUAUUUACCUCCUCAAAAUUCAGCUUUGAGCACAAUUUCCUGUUCCAAAAUUCCCUGUGGCUUUGCAUGUCCUAUAGGACAUCCAGUCAUUCUGCAUGGAGUCUAAAUUUAUGUAGGCUGGAGUCUAAAUUUCUUAGUCUAACCUUCAGGGUCCACCACUGACCCCUCAACUCAGUUUUCCAGCCUGUGCUCCAUCACUGCUCCCUUGCUGUAUUAGUCUGUUCUUACACUGCUACACAGAAAUACCUGAGACUGGGUAGUUUAUAAAGGAAAGAGGUUUAAUUGACUCACCGUUUCACAUGACUGGGGAGGCCUCAGGAAACUUACCACCAUGGCAGAAGACGAAGGGGAAGCAAGAACCUUCUUCACAAGGCGGCAGGAGGGAGAAUGAACACAGAACGAACUACCAAACACUUACAAAGCCAUCAGAUCUCAUGACAACUCACUCACUAGCAUGAGAACAGCAUGGGGAAAACCACCCCCAUGAUCAAAUUACCUCCACCUGGUCCCUCCUUUGACACGUGGGGAUUACAAUUCGAGAUGACAUUUGAGUUGGGACACAGAGCCAAAUCAGGAAGGGUCUUCAUCCCAAGGGUCCAGCUACAUUUGCCACACGGAUGGAUUCAAAAAGUUGGGACUCCCUACACUUGGAUGUAGGAGUUGAAAUGUCUAUCAUUUGAGCCUGGGCGUACUGGAUCCCAUAAAAAUGCCACAUGAAAGAAAGCGUAAUUAAGAAGCUUUUCUAUGGCUGGGACAGGGCCAUGGAAUGCACUUCGGGUAUAACAAAAGAUGCUGAAUCUGAACAAGAAUGAACUCAGUCCUAACGUGACAGGUCAGACAGAGCCGCCUUUGUGCCACACCACCCUCCUGCCCUGUCUUCCUUUCCCUUAACGUAUCAUGAUGAGGAACCUCGGUUGUAUUUUAAAAAGCAUAAUAAUUACUUAUACUUCUCUAUGGUUUCCAAUAAACCAGUGAUUUUUUUUUCAAAAAGUCCAUGAAUAAAACAAACCCCGUCACCAUUGGAAAUGCAUUUCCAUGC